GUACUGGUACAGAGUCAAUGUGGAGGCUAUAUACAGGGGGUACCAGUACAGAGUUAAUGUGGAGGCUAUACACAGGGGAUAACAGUACAGAGUCCAUGUGUAGGCUAUAUACAGGAUGUACCAGUACAGAGUCAAUGUGGAGGCUAUAUACAGGGGGUACCAGUACAGAGUCAAUGUGGGGGCUAUAUACAGGGGGUACCAGUACAGAGUCAAUGUGGAGGUUAUAUACAGGGGGUACUAGUACAGAGUCAAUGUGGAGGCUAUAUACAGGGGGUACCAGUACAGAGUCAAUGUGGGGGCUAUAUACAGGGGGUACCAGUACAGAGUCAAUGUGGAGGCUAUAUACAGGGGGUACCAGUACAGAGUCAAUGUGGAGGCUAUAUACAGGGGGUACCGGUACAGAGUCAAUGUGGAGGCUAUAUACAGGGGGUACCAGUACAGAGUCAAUGUGGAGGCUAUAUACAGGGGGUACCAGUACAGAGUCAAUGUGGAGGCUAUAUACAGGGGGUACUGGUACAGAGUCAAUGUGGAGGCUAUAUACAGGAGGUACCGGUACAGAGUCAAUGUGGAGGCUAUAUACAGGGGGUACCGGUACAGAGUCAAUGUGGAGGCUAUAUACAGGGGGUACCGGUACAGAGUCAAUGUGGAGGCUCUAUACAGGGUGUUACGGUACAGAGUCAAUGUGGAGGCUAUAUACAGGGGGUACCGGUACAGAGUCAAUGUGGAGGCUAUAUACAGGGGGUACCGGUACAGAGUCAAUGUGGAGGCUCUAUACAGGAGGUACCGGUACAGAGUCAAUGUGGAGACUAUAUACAGGGGGUACCGGUACAGAGUCAGUGUGGAGGCUAUAUACA
Molecule: long non-coding RNA, 854 nt
Organism: Oncorhynchus tshawytscha (Chinook salmon)
Lineage: Eukaryota; Metazoa; Chordata; Actinopteri; Salmoniformes; Salmonidae
Source: Ensembl